UAAUACGUAGGGGGCAAGCGUUGUCCGGAUUUAUUGGGCGUAAAGAGCGUGUAGGCGGUUAGGUAGGUCCGUUGUGAAAACUCGAGGCUCAACCUCGAGACGCCGAUGGAAACCCCCUAACUAGAGUCCGGAAGAGGAGAGUGGAAUUCCUGGUGUAGCGGUGAAAUGCGCAGAUAUCAGGAAGAACACCCGUGGCUAAGGCGGCUCUCUAGUACGGUACUGACGCUGAGACGCGAAAGCGUGGGGAGCGAACAGGAUUAGAUACCCUGGUAGUCCACGCCGUAAACGAUGGGUGCUAGGUGUGGGAGGUGUCGACUCCUUCCGUGCCGAAGCUAACGCAUUAAGCACCCCGCCUGGGGAGUACGGCCGCAAGGCUA
This 377-nucleotide ribosomal RNA is filed under the name uncultured bacterium. RNAcentral describes it as "bacterial SSU rRNA". It matches the Rfam family "Bacterial small subunit ribosomal RNA", at positions 521 to 896 of the family's 1533-position model. The record is from RNAcentral.